RNAcentral lists this ribosomal RNA (575 nucleotides) under Pseudoterranova decipiens (codworm). RNAcentral describes it as "eukaryotic LSU rRNA". It matches the Rfam family "Eukaryotic large subunit ribosomal RNA", at positions 206 to 632 of the family's 3401-position model. Lineage: Eukaryota; Metazoa; Nematoda; Chromadorea; Rhabditida; Anisakidae. The record is from RNAcentral.
AAGAAGGUGAUAGACCUGUACGGGUGGUGAGAUGGUCGGUUGGUUGCUCCUUGGAGUCGGGUUGCCUGGGAUCGCAGCCCAAAGUUGGUGGUAGACCUCAUCUAAGGCUAAAUAUGGCCACGAAACCGAUAGCAAACAAGUACCGUGAGGGAAAGUUGCAAAGAACUUUGAAGAGAGAGUUCAAGAGGGCGUGAAACCGCUGAGAUUGAAACGGAUAGAGUUGACGGAACUCGGCUGCAUUCAUUCGGUCGGCCUAGCGGCCCGAUGGGACUGACUUCCUCGAUGAGGGCAGUUUUGUCGGUAGCUGUUGGGUGCUUGAUCGGUGUAUUUGCGGCUGGUAUGCGCUGAGAGCCUUGUGGACGAAUGUUGAAGGGCGCGUAGUGGACCAUUCCUUACGGGUGUGGAACCCUCCGUGCUUUGAGGCAUGUUGGCCAUGAGGCUUAAAAUUUGCGUCUCCGCUAUGGUGCGUCGGCCUUGUUGAGCUGUUGCUGCCGUGGUAUGGUCGCGUGCGACCUGCUGUAGUUGGCGAUGGCGUGACAGGUGCGGACGCGUUGAGACGUGCAUCUCGGUGUGAA